CUUUAUGUGAAGAGUGUGAAGAGCCAAGUGAGCAUUCUUCCUGCCUGGAAGUGCAGUAUGAUGAGAAAGGAAGUCACAUCUUUGGAAACUAAGUGCAGCUGUGAGUAAGUCCAUGUGUCUGAAGGGGUCAAAAAGCAACCUCCUGCAAGCUAACGAAUUCACCUCUUUUCUUGUCCAAGCCUCAGUGCUGAGAGAGGAAAAAAAACUGCUGGCCUUCUCGGGACCGGCAGGAAGCAGUUUGCAGUCUCGCCCGGCAGCUCUUUUCUUUCAUCUGUGCCUGCGAACCCACUGCCAUCUGCUCUUUUGUGGCUCUGCUUCUGACUCCUACCGUGGCUUCUGGGGCUGUCCGCUUUGCUUUUUCAGAUACCUUGCGGGCCUUUUCCAGGCAUGCCUGAGGAUUUGAGGUGAGGUAGAAUGGGUGUCAUGGGAUUACUUUCAGUCAGGAUGUGGGAGUAUCGCUUUGGCGCGGUGCAGGUGAUGAAGGUGAGCGAAGGAAGAUUAGAGAGGAUGUGGCUGCCAUUGAGUGAUGCCUCUUAAGGAUCAAA
Dromaius novaehollandiae (emu) is the source of this 545-nucleotide long non-coding RNA. RefSeq lists it as uncharacterized. The record is from RefSeq and is a predicted model, not a curated record. The transcript has 3 exons. Lineage: Eukaryota; Metazoa; Chordata; Aves; Casuariiformes; Dromaiidae.